UGGGGAAUAUUGCACAAUGGGGGGAACCCUGAUGCAGCAACGCCGCGUGAAGGAUGAAGGUUUUCGGAUCGUAAACUUCUAUCAGUAGGGAAGAAAAAAAUGACAGUACCUAACUAAGAAGCCCCGGCUAACUACGUGCCAGUAGCCGCGGUAAUACGUAGGGGGCAAGCGUUAUCCGGAUUUACUGGGUGUAAAGGGUGCGUAGGUGGCAUGGUAAGUUAGAUGUGAAAGCCCAAGGCUCAACCUUGGGAUUGCAUCUAAAACUGCCGAGCUAGAGUGCAGGAGAGGAAAGCGGAAUUCCUAGUGUAGCGGUGAAAUGCGUAGAUAUUAGGAGGAACACCAGUAGCGAAGGCGGCUUUCUGGACUGUAACUGACACUGAGGCACGAAAGCGUGGGUAGCAAACAGG
This 407-nucleotide ribosomal RNA is filed under the name uncultured prokaryote. RNAcentral's name for it is "bacterial SSU rRNA". It matches the Rfam family "Bacterial small subunit ribosomal RNA", at positions 355 to 776 of the family's 1533-position model. The record is from RNAcentral. RNAcentral also lists the same sequence under 1 other name.